GUGCUAAUAAGGUCGCCGCCGGCUGUGUGUGGUUUUCUGGCACCUGAGGUGUGGACAGUGCUGCUGAGGAACUGAACCUUAAUGAGCAAACACCAGGCCCUUAGAAAGACGUCUUCCCGAUCUUCCUGAUGGCUCUGCCCCUGCCCAGCCUCUCUGUUCUGCUGCCACCGGGAGUUCCUCACCACCUGAAACUAUGGAACGGACUCAGCACCCCGCUCUCCUGGAAGGAGAACCCACCACCUGCCCUGAGACUGAACCUUUGAUUGACCUUCAUGCAAAGCUUGACAGAUAGGCCUGUGUGUGGCCAGAAAGUAAAAUGGCCAUGAUGAAAAUGCUGAUGGCCAAGUACUACUGAGUGCUUACAACGUGCCAGGCCAACGUGCUAACGCCUUCCCUGCAGGGUCUCACUGAAUCCUCAU
Long non-coding RNA from Suricata suricatta (meerkat), 419 nucleotides. RefSeq lists it as uncharacterized. Lineage: Eukaryota; Metazoa; Chordata; Mammalia; Carnivora; Herpestidae. The transcript has 3 exons. The record is from RefSeq and is a predicted model, not a curated record.